UACGUAGGGGGCAAGCGUUAUCCGGAAUUACUGGGUAUAAAGGGAGCGUAGACGGUAAUGUAAGUCUGGAGUGAAAGGCGGGGGCCCAACCCCCGGACUGCUCUGGAAACUAUGUUACUAGAGUGCAGGAGAGGUAAGCGGAAUUCCUAGUGUAGCGGUGAAAUGCGUAGAUAUUAGGAGGAACACCGGUGGCGAAAGCGGCUCUCUGGCCUGUAACUGACACUGAGGCUCGAAAGCGUGGGGAGCAAACAGG
RNAcentral lists this ribosomal RNA (253 nucleotides) under uncultured bacterium. RNAcentral's name for it is "partial 16S ribosomal RNA". It matches the Rfam family "Bacterial small subunit ribosomal RNA", at positions 524 to 776 of the family's 1533-position model. The record is from RNAcentral.